UCGAGAACCCUCUCAGUCAUUCAGUUACCGGCCGGAAGCUGUGCGUAAAUGUGACAGACGUAAGGCGGCGUUGUUAGGACAUUGCCUACGCCAUUGUUAAUCCAAGUUCACCGGUUCAACGAGGAAGGCAACGUUAGCUCAAAAUUACUCGUGGGAGCGUAUUAACAGGUUCGUUAACGAUCGAACGUCAAACAUGUCUCUCCGAUCUAUUUUACAGGCGUCGUUAUCAUGUGACUAAACGCCGGUUCACAAUAUUACAUUCACACAGCGAUAAGGAACGACAUGAUACAAUGGGGCAGGUAAAAUAGAGAGAGAGAGAGAGAGAGAGGGAGAGAGAGAGAGAGAGAAAGAGGGAGAGAGAGAGAGAGAGAGACAUCAUUUUAGUAUUGGAGACGUUCCAAAGUACUACUUUCGCAUAUGGAAUUGAGGUUGUGUUCGUUCGCUUAUAUUCGCCUUUUAAACCGAGCCUCGCGUGACAGUAAAAGCCUAAUCGAAAGCCACUCUUCGCAGCUCAGUUUGGAGGCUCGUGUGGAACCCUGACAUGCAUUCGAAUAUGGCGAGAUACUUAAACGUAGUCUAUAUUUGGAUUAAUACGAUCGCGCGGUCGUUCGGUUGACCUUCCAAGAUUUGUAUAAAAAAAAAAUUUCCAAAUGAAAAUUUCGUUUCGAAAACAAAAUUUUAUACGAAUGUAUCAAUUCCUUCUUUACAAUUACCAUCACUUCCUAUACCUUUUCUGAAUGAGUCUUUGUCCUUUUAUCGUAAAUCGAUUUAUAGACAUCUAAGACAUCGUCUUUGAUCAGCACUCAUUCUCAGUUAAUUGUAUUAUAUCGAAAACGACUAUUAUUACGCCUAAGAUCGAGAUAAAGUGAGGGACACAAAGUGGGGAUAGCGAUAAGCGUUUGCAGCAAAAAAAAGGGAGGGGGAGAGCCUCGAGGCGAUGCACAAAGUGACCAUAUUUGGUGUUGUUAGAUUACGUUCAAUACGUGGGCGUGAACGCACCCUUGUUACUCGUAACUGAAUCGCUCCAGUUACGUCGUGGUACGCACAUUCAUGAGACUAAUUAAUUUUGUUGGAAGAAGUGCGUUAGAUGAAUAAGAAUAAAAGGAAAAGGUAGAAGAAGAGAAGAAGAGAAAAAGAGAAGGGGGAAAGGAAGAGAGAAAG
This is a long non-coding RNA of Vespa crabro (European hornet), 1161 nucleotides long. RefSeq lists it as uncharacterized. The transcript is spliced from 2 exons. The record is from RefSeq and is a predicted model, not a curated record. Lineage: Eukaryota; Metazoa; Arthropoda; Insecta; Hymenoptera; Vespidae.